Calidris pugnax (ruff) is the source of this 2685-nucleotide long non-coding RNA. RefSeq lists it as uncharacterized. The record is from RefSeq and is a predicted model, not a curated record. NCBI's taxonomy places the organism in Eukaryota, Metazoa, Chordata, Aves, Charadriiformes, Scolopacidae. The transcript is spliced from 3 exons.
GAGCAGGGCCACCCACAGCAGGUUGCACAGGAACGUGUCCAGAAAUUAGUCAUCGUAGUGAUUCUCAGUGGUGACAGUUUCCAUGGGUUUUGGAAAGUGGUGUCCAUCUACCUACGUGUUUUAAGACCAGGACAUCCUGGAUGAUGAGAGUUUACCAAGAUUUCUCUCCCUGCUCAUCUAAUAAGUGACAAAUUACUUCUCAAAAUGAAAAUAAGCAAAAUCUCUGACCUGGUGCGCUCCUCUGGAGCUGUAGGUUUGAAACAGCUGUUUUUCAAGCCCAGCUUGAACACCGCAGCCUGGUGGAGUUGCUGACUUUUCCCGCAGCAGAAGGUGAAAGCCCAGGAGCUCGUUUCAGGCUGAGGACAGCUCUGUGCUGGCUGCAGGGCCGCCCGGCCAGCCCCUGCCACCGCACCAGGGCAACCACCAGCUCAUCAGAGACCUUGUCACGCAGCGGCAAAAACCCUGUGCCAAGGACACAGCAAGGCCCGGGCUGACCCCCUUGCCCUCCCACCCGUUGCCUUUGGCUGGACCCAGCGACCCCAGAGCAGAACAAAGAGCAGGGCCGGGGCCGGUUACGAGGAGCAGAUCCCUUCCUUCACUGGCAGCACCAGUGAGGGGCCUUCCCCACGCCAGGAACAAGGAAAACUCUUCUGCUCCCCUCAUUCCAUCGACAAGAUACCCGGGUGACCCAGGAGCUUCUGGGUGGUGCGUUUCAGCACAUACCCCACCAAAAUUAACAUGACUGAUGUUAAUAAAGCAGCCACCUUACUCUGCUGCCUUACUGGGAACGAACUGCUCUCUGGGAGCGCGGGAGGGGACAGAUGCCCACACUGCGACACGCACGUGCAGCCAACUCCUCGGGCUGCACAGGACCCCUGGGAGAUGGAAGUGCCCGGGCUGAAGUUGAGCAGCUUGUUUUAGCCAACUACUCCAUUAACACAGGCACCAUUGAGAUGAAAGUACAAGAAGCCACGGGCAGCAGGGCUUCAGCCCAGGGUAUCUGCGCUGGACCCUCGUUCGUAGCACACCUUCAGCUGAAGCCUGAGGGAAGGCUGGAGGACUCCAAAUGCAGGGGGUUGGCGCUGGCAGGAGGUCCUUCCACUGGGGAAGGGGCAGCGAGGGCCAGAUGUGGGGUCUCCCCACUUUGCCCACUUGCUCUCUGAGGAGUGAACAGGUUCAUCUGCUUUCAGCAGGCACCUGAGCACAGGACCUGCUUGGGAACCCCAGGAAGCAUUUCUAAAAAGCUAUGGAAGACCAGCUGUGCUGCGGGUCUCAGAAGAGGUGUCUGUACAGCUAUACGGAAGUGAGCUAGACACAAGGGUUGUUUAAAAAAAUAAAAAAACCUCUGGAACCUGUCGAGACCAGCACAGACAAACGUGCCCAGAGAAACUGGAGAGGAGGCAAGAGGAGGUGGUUUCAGCAAGAGGGGAGAAGAAUGAGGAAGACCAGCAAGAGCCCAGGAGGCAGCAGCCCGAUCAGAUAACUGGCUGACAGAGGCUGGGUUUGCCGAGCGGAUCCAGCUGGCACCGUCUCAAGGCAGAGCAGGCAUCAGGUGGCAGAGCUCACACGCUGCAGCCUCUGCCUCCCACCCCUGGCAGCCCUUCAAGCAUCUCAGCAAUCUUCUCUGGGCAGAUGGCAAGGGAAGCAGAGACAAAGCACGAGCCCGGCCGGGAGGGAACCGCCCUUCGGGACUCCCUUUCCCUCCGUAAGCCCUUUGAGCUGUACGGUACGAGCUGGCAAAGGCACCACUUGGAUCCUCGGGUAUUAAACGCUGUUCCAGGGAGUAACAGCAGACCCUGCGUCUGGAUUUGGGUGAAGGGUGCAGGAGGUACCUGGUGAGGACACGGUGACAUAGUUCAGUGGAAGAGUGCUUUCAGAACCAUGGGGAAAUAAGUGAAUAUAUGGGGUCUGAAGAUAACCAACCAGGCAGCAGGGAGCGAGAAUUCCUGCCCACUAUCUGUCGCCCACCCAGAAUCCUGCCUGACCCACUGGAAAGCCCCCUCAGAAAUCUGUCCUCAACCCCCCCCCAGGGAUGGGAAGGGGGAGAACGGUUCUCAGAAGGACUGCCAGGCCCCACGGCAAGGGAGAAGACAGGACCUCAUCUGAACCCUCUCUCCAGACAGCUAAGAAAGUCCAAAGUCCUGAAAAAAGAAAUAAGCUUGAUGUUUUUUGAACCUCUCUGGCUCCAGACACUAACCCUAUUUAGCAAAGCGUACGCUCAGUUAAUUGCAGAACAGAGCAAUGUAUGUCUAAUUACAGAAUUGUAUAGAUCCUGUACCUCUAAUUGCAGAAAUGUAAGAUAUCUUAAAGUGCUCAACAGAGAUGACAAUAGGAGAAUUUUGCCUCUAAUAACACCUUUUUUUGCCAAACCUCUGCUCUUAAUUUUAUCCAUUGACUGACAUCCACUCCUCAAAUUGUAAAUCUGUGAUAUCUGAUGGGCUAAUCCAAGUUUUACACUGUGAAAGCAUCAAGAGGUUUUAAACUCACCAAGGCUUAUCUAAGCCUCAGGUUGCUUGCUUUCCUCCCAGUCUGGAAAAAUUUUUCCAAACUGGGUUCCUUCUGGUGGAAGUAUUGCUCGGCAGCACCAGCGAGGCUUUCCACGGGGAAGUGAGACAGAGGAGAGCUCCCAUCCCUUUGAACCCCUGCCUGGGGCAUCUUAAAUUACCAACGCACAGCCACAGUGUG